RNAcentral lists this long non-coding RNA (207 nucleotides) under Elaeis guineensis (African oil palm). RNAcentral describes it as "long non-coding RNA (EGUI_LNC081622)". Lineage: Eukaryota; Viridiplantae; Streptophyta; Magnoliopsida; Arecales; Arecaceae. The record is from RNAcentral.
GAUACCAGUUGAAGAGAAGGGAACAGUUUCUCUCCAGAAUGCUCAGGUUGUAUCUAAAAUUUUUUUCUAAUAUUCUACUUAUUUAUGGAUGAAAUCCUCAUCUGAAUCAUAGUAGAACCAGAGAUCAAAUCUCAAAUUAUUUGAUAUAAACCUUCGUGGAGGUCUGAAUAUGCAGAUCCUCUACUUCGCAUGCACGUCAGAUGCUGC